RNAcentral lists this ribosomal RNA (448 nucleotides) under uncultured bacterium. RNAcentral's name for it is "bacterial SSU rRNA". It matches the Rfam family "Bacterial small subunit ribosomal RNA", at positions 329 to 792 of the family's 1533-position model. The record is from RNAcentral.
UACCAGACUCCUACGGGAGGCAGCAGUGGGGAAUAUUGGACAAUGGGGGGAACCCUGAUCCAGCGACGCCGCGUGAGUGAAGAAGUAUUUCGGUAUGUAAAGCUCUAUCAGCAGGGAAGAAGAAAUGACGGUACCUGACUAAGAAGCUCCGGCUAAAUACGUGCCAGCAGCCGCGGUAAUACGUAUGGAGCAAGCGUUAUCCGGAUUUACUGGGUGUAAAGGGAGCGCAGGCGGCGCGCCAAGUCUGGUGUGAAACCCCGGGGCUCAACCCCGGGACUGCAUUGGAAACUGGCGGGCUGGAGUGUCGGAGGGGCAGGCGGAAUUCCUGGUGUAGCGGUGAAAUGCGUAGAUAUCAGGAGGAACACCGGUGGCGAAGGCGGCCUGCUGGACGACAACUGACGCUGAGGCUCGAAAGCGUGGGGAGCAAACAGGAUUAGAUACCCGGGUA